AACACCUCAAAGCCUUUUUUCUUUUUUGAAGAAAGACUUUGGACUUGAGCAAUCCCAACACUAAUCUCUUGAGAUUGGAGGCGGGUUGCUUGAAAUGCAGGUGCAGCUGGACUUUCUCCUGAGCUAAAAGCAUAUUCAUUUAGUCCCGUCAAACGGAUUAUUACUUUUGCUGCAGCUAACAUAAAGGGAGUUUGACCAUUUUGGCUGACUGAUGCAGGAUUUUCACAAGAGUCUUCAAAAACCCUUGUUAA
Molecule: unclassified non-coding RNA, 251 nt
Filed under: uncultured Mortierella
Lineage: Eukaryota; Fungi; Mortierellomycota; Mortierellomycetes; Mortierellales; Mortierellaceae
Description: sequence contains ITS2
Source: RNAcentral